This 342-nucleotide long non-coding RNA is filed under the name Gallus gallus (chicken). The record is from RNAcentral. Lineage: Eukaryota; Metazoa; Chordata; Aves; Galliformes; Phasianidae.
GGAUGAGGGCAGCUCCAUCCUCAGAAUGACCAGCAGAUGGUGGUGGAGCUUCACCGAUAGCUACACUUCCUGGGGAGGGCUUGGACGCCACCACUGCCAUACCUCAGCCCUCGAGCUCUCCAUUAGAAACAACGUAACAUUUCCUUGGCAGGCAGAUGCAGCAUUUGCUUUACAUGGAAAACACAGUUUGGAGCUGAUUUCAUCUGUUGUUGUGGUAAUUUUUAUAAUCGCAGAAGUCAGUCUGUCUGUCUGUGGCAUCUGGCACUAACAAGUCCUUGGAGUGGUGUUCAUGGCACUUCAGACCUAAGGCUCCGUUGCAUGCUGACAGAUGCUGACACAAGG